GACGAACGCUGGCGGCGUGCUUAACACAUGCAAGUCGAACGGAAAGGCCCUGCUUUUGUGGGGUGCUCGAGUGGCGAACGGGUGAGUAACACGUGAGUAACCUGCCCUUGACUUUGGGAUAACUUCAGGAAACUGGGGCUAAUACCGGAUAGGAGCUCCUGUUGCAUGGUGGGGGUUGGAACGUUUCGGCGGUUGGGGAUGGACUCGCGGCUUAUCAGCUUGUUGGUGGGGUAGUGGCUUACCAAGGCUUUGACGGGUAGCCGGCCUGAGAGGGUGACCGGCCACAUUGGGACUGAGAUACGGACCAGACUCCUACGGGAGGCAGCAGUGGGGAAUAUUGCACAAUGGGCGGAAGCCUGAUGCAGCAACGCCGCGUGCGGGAUGACGGCCUUCGGGUUGUAAACCGCUUUCGCCUGUGACGAAGCGUGAGUGACGGUAAUGGGUAAAGAAGCACCGGCUAACUACGUG
This 468-nucleotide ribosomal RNA is filed under the name uncultured bacterium. RNAcentral describes it as "partial 16S ribosomal RNA". It matches the Rfam family "Bacterial small subunit ribosomal RNA", at positions 28 to 507 of the family's 1533-position model. The record is from RNAcentral.